This 418-nucleotide ribosomal RNA is filed under the name Corynebacterium terpenotabidum. Its description in RNAcentral is "bacterial SSU rRNA". It matches the Rfam family "Bacterial small subunit ribosomal RNA", at positions 923 to 1342 of the family's 1533-position model. The record is from RNAcentral. Lineage: Bacteria; Bacillati; Actinomycetota; Actinomycetes; Mycobacteriales; Corynebacteriaceae.
GCACAAGCGGCGGAGCAUGUGGAUUAAUUCGAUGCAACGCGAAGAACCUUACCUGGGCUUGACAUAUGCCGGAUCGGCGCAGAGAUGCGUUUUCCCUUGUGGUCGGUAUACAGGUGGUGCAUGGUUGUCGUCAGCUCGUGUCGUGAGAUGUUGGGUUAAGUCCCGCAACGAGCGCAACCCUUGUCUUGUGUUGCCAGCACGUUAUGGUGGGGACUCGCGAGAGACUGCCGGGGUUAACUCGGAGGAAGGUGGGGAUGACGUCAAAUCAUCAUGCCCCUUAUGUCCAGGGCUUCACACAUGCUACAAUGGUCGGUACAGUGGGUUGCGAUGCCGUGAGGUGGAGCUAAUCCCUUAAAGCCGGUCUCAGUUCGGAUUGGAGUCUGCAACUCGACUCCAUGAAGUCGGAGUCGCUAGUAAU